Long non-coding RNA from Anopheles merus, 2631 nucleotides. RefSeq lists it as uncharacterized. The record is from RefSeq and is a predicted model, not a curated record. The transcript has 3 exons. Lineage: Eukaryota; Metazoa; Arthropoda; Insecta; Diptera; Culicidae.
AAAAAGAAGAUCAUCUUCAGACUAUUGGAGAUAGUCGCUUCCACUCACAACGCUGAUCUCUUUUGAACACGCAUUACCGUCGGUCACGCAAUCAAAUGCGCAAUUGACCCGACAAGUGUUGGGCGACUGCUGAAGGUUGAUAGAGUCUGAAGAUAUCAUCAUACCCCGUUGGCUAGAUAGGAAAAGGGGAAGCGCGACCGUGUGGAAUGACAUGCAAAGUCUGUCAAAAGCAGGCACAGUGGAGGGUGGGGGGCUUGCAAAAUCGUUUCCACAUCCGAUACCACACACACACCGUCCCACCCGAUCACCUUCACCAUGGGCUCUCCCCCAAAUGCGUGUACGUGCGUGUGCAUGUGCGCGUAAUCUAAAUUGACCUUUUUUUUCCUCAGGCGUAUCUAAGACGGCGUUUCUAACCACAGCGUGUAUUCGUGUGGUGGGCAUAGCGACGGGCACACCUCAAUCUUUCCCCGCGGCCUGCUUCGACCAGACAACCCCUUGUCUAGUUGCAAAAUUUUGAUACGCAAUUUGCUCGUCAACAACUUCUCUUCCCAAAUUCUCCGUGGGACACGACGGUCGUGCAGUAGAGCUUUCCUCUUCUUUUCUUCGUUUGUUAUGUUGCAAAUCUAAUUCUAGCUAGACCCGCAGCGCCACAGUGCCGGUCACUUUGCAUACCAGCCCGUGCGUGUGUGUGCUUGGUGAAUCGUAUUCAAAUUUAUUCAUUCCCUGUCGUAAGCGCUCUACUAACAGUUCUCCGUGUGACCUAUCGAUUACUAAUCCACACAUCCGGUGCGAGGGCUGCAGCGGGAGGCAAUAUAAACCUCUGCCACAUGUUUGAGCGUGUUUGGUGCAAACACCGGCAGGCGAAAUUAGCCUCCAGCAACUUCCUUCUACAGCGAUAAUAAAUUCAAUCAACUAGAACGCGCGGCGUUGGCGGCGAUCGUCCAUCAAGCAGGGUGCAGGUGGCAAGAGCAACAAACACAACCGUCCCACCCCAAAUGCCCGGUUGUUUUGAUGCAAGAAAUACGGUUCUUCUACACCCACCACAAGCAGGUUGCCUCCGUGCAGUACACGUGACAAUGUAACGGAUCCACUCCUCACCGUUCACUAUCUGAAACGGAACAGCAGCAGCAGCAGCCAGUAGUAGUGCGAGCUCCUCGUGUACUACCGCGUGGUGGUGGUGGUUGGUUUGCACCACUUCAGUGGGAUAAUAAUAGUGGCGGCAAUAACAACAAGCUCAACCACUUGCAGCAUGGGAAAGUAGUAACGCUCAAGUCGCAUGGAGUGUGCGUUGGCGUAUAUCACGCGAUGUUUACUGGCCCGGCUGAUUUGUUUACGGAGUGUGUUAUACAACGUGUGUGCUAGAGAGAGAGAGGUGUGGGUGAUCUUGGAGAUGUGUGAUCGUAGAACAAGAAAGAUUAUGAAUCUCUCUUGCGUUGGGAAGUGAAGUGGCAGCUGGUGCAUCAGAAACACACUUCAAUAAACAAAGGCCUGCUAAGCAAGAGACUUGCAGUAGAACCAUCGAUCGUACGGCGACACAAGCGCGUCUCUCUCGUGUGUUGUGUCAUUCGUGUGCCAAGGAAUGCGUUGUAUUGCACAUAGAGUGCCGCUCGGACAUGCUUCCUAUUUUCGCACUGCCGAUGCACCACCACCACCACCAUCAUCUGCAUCACUGCAACGAGAGCGGGACCGGAUUCUAACACCCCGAGACCGUAAACAACGCCGCGAUCAAACUGAAAACUGUAAACAAUGAAGAAUGCUGCACUGAACCUGCCCAGAAACGUGACGAGGAUCGUAAAUGGCUCUAUCCAGACAAGGUUUAAAAACAGAAGCUCUCCUGCCCGUUGGAGAAAACGAUCGAUUAUGAAGCUUACUUCCGCCCCGACUGACUAUUGGCUCCCAACAUCUUCUUGUACAGCGUUGUUGGGCCGCCGUGUUUCUCAAUCUCUCGCACGGUUGAAAGAUAUACAACACACACGGUCCGUCGCUCUUCCCCAACGGCAACAAUGUUGGCGCCCCACGGCCGUCCGCGCAAUUCGCGGUCGGGGAAUAAAUAUCUAAUUUGCAGCUAAACAGCAACAUCGGCGGCGGUUUAAAGGGGAUGGAAGGGAGGCGGAUGAUAUUUUUCGCGUUAAAAUGCUUUCCUUGGGGGCACGACCACUUUACGCGUAAACAAGCUAAAAUGACGACGACGGUACACACAAGUGGCGGCGCGAGCAACGAACGAACGAAGGUCAACUCGUACUCACCCCCCUUGGUGGAAGUGCGGUGGUGAUGGCGGUGGUGUUGGUGUGACCAAUCCCUUCAACCCCACCCGCUGGUACUAUCAUACUGUACGGUGGAGCGAUAGGAGUUAGUUAAAAGGGGUGCUGCUGCUGCUGCUGAUAAUAAUGGCACAGCUCACGUUUUAGAUACAUUUGACUACGACAUUCACAGACAAAAAACCCAUGCUCGUUACUGAUUACUGUUAUCUAGUCUAAUGAUAACAACCUCCUUUGCACCAAUUGUAUCGAAAAAGUCCAUAUUCAUCGUGCCACAGCUGUGUAGAUAUAAGUAUUAGAAGACACCUUGGACAUACGUUGUUGUUUUACAUUGAAAAGACCAACCGAUAAACUCUUUCCUUAUAUCCCUCCA